Long non-coding RNA from Poecilia latipinna (sailfin molly), 1470 nucleotides. RefSeq lists it as uncharacterized. The record is from RefSeq and is a predicted model, not a curated record. The transcript has 2 exons. NCBI's taxonomy places the organism in Eukaryota, Metazoa, Chordata, Actinopteri, Cyprinodontiformes, Poeciliidae.
GAUCUAAGCGCAGUCCAGCUUCUCUGCGCUGUGGAGCCCCAGUCAGUCCGACAGUGAAGGACACAGAAAGAGGAGAGAUUGUGCAGCAGUGCAGCGCAGGAAUAAUUAACUGAAUUAAAAUGGCAAAGAAGCAGGAGAAAAGCAUCACCCUCCCAUCUGUCUGACUGAAUAGUUGGAUAAAGCUGACAAGGAGGUACAACAGGAAUAACAAGGAGGAGGGGAGGAGGUGCCAGAGGUCCGUCCAUGCUUAUUUCUCCUCUCGCACCGUCCGCCUGAGGAGCUUUGCUGCUGAUGGUGUCACUGCGACAGCGCUCAGUGAGGGAGCUGUGUGAGCGCGCUGGUGUGCCUGUUUAAAUAUCAACAGCUGAGAGUUCAUCUAUCAGGUGGAUGUGGAGUAAAUCUGGGAUUUGUGAGCUGGAAGAGUUUCGUUCAGGUGUCAGUUGAACAUUCCUCAUUUUCGCCCCUCUUCCCUUUUUUCCUUUGGUGCAUUCGUCUGUACGAGAAGCUUUGCCUGUUUGAUCAGGAACUGCUGCUGCGCUCUGCUUCCCCCUUUCCUACCUCGCUUCUCUUCAGCCCUCUACCGGCUUUUUAGUAACUGUUCUGGGACUACAAUUGGCGGUCUGGUUUGGUGGCUCCCCCACAGACAGAAAAAGCAUAUGGAUGCCACUGCGUCUUAUACAUCGUUACCCAAUAUGCCAGAAGCCUGAAUCCUUGGGCGGACUCCACUGCCUAGGCUUCCAACCGCAGUUGAUGCCUGCUGCCAUUCAGCCAACCCACACAUCAUCUUUGGCAGAUCCAUGUUGACUCUAUCUGUUCAAAGGCUCAAUAGUCUCCAGCUGCUUCUUUGAGGACAUCAGAAAAAGAAAGGAAAAGAAAAAAAAAAUUGUCGGGGUUUGAAAAUGUUGCUCCUCUGAUGAAUUCCCUUUUUUUCCCGGAUUCUGAUUCUGUGAAGUGAAAAAAAACCUGAACUGACACCAACCCUAAGCCUUGACACAGCGGGUGAAAUGUAAUUGAAAAAAACAAAAAUAUUGGACACUUCUUCCAACGAGCCUCCCCGCGGUGCUGAGUCACAGAAGGUGACAUGCGUCUCAUCCUACCAUGUAGCCACAACAACUCGAGGAAACCUCCCAGAAACUUUUCUUCCAAACACUCAGCUAUUUUUAACAAGCUGAUACACAACACUGAGUCAAUCAGCUGAGAGACUUAUAAAGUGCCACUGGGUUAUUAUCAGCCUGUGCACUUCCUAUUUACAUCUUUAAUCUUUGUUUUCUGAGUAAUUAUCUUUUUAAUUAAUGGCGACAGAGGCGUGAAUUCCUCCCUGCCACCUUCUUCAGUUCUUUCCUUUUUCACCGCUGCUAGAGACACCUGAAACCAAUUAACUACAACUGAUAUAGUUGUGGAUUAGACACAAGAAGAGCUGGAGUGAUUAGAUGUAAAUACAAAGAGAGUAAAAGGCGACCAAGAACAAAA